UGUCAUUUGCUAAUACUCUUUCUAGGACUGGCAGAAGCGCCGAGGCUUGGCUUCGGAAGGGCUUCUACCGGUCUACAGAACAUGCCGUCGUCCUCAUGUCCCUUCAUCACUGGAGAUUGCCGCGAGGCCCUUGUGGGUCUUGCUGGCAUCAGCCUGAGCUGGCUCACGCCGCCCGCGGCCUCAUGGCCUGCUUUGGGUUUGCGGUGGGGGCCGGUAGCUCAGGUGGUUAGAGCGCACGCCUGAUAAGCGUGAGGUCGCAAGUUCAACUCUUGCUCGGCCCACCAAACCGCUUCGCGGUUUGGAGUCUUUGUUUGGUGCUCAAGCGCCGCCGAACGCGUCCGCGUUCUUGGCUACUCGCCGCAUAAGCGGCGCCAAGGAUUGUGGGGCACGGUCGGCCUUGCGAAGGCUUUGCCUUCGUUGGCACUUUACAUAGAGUCUGCUUUUAGAUCGAGUUCCCUUAAUGAGGGGCCUUAGCUCAGCUGGGAGAGCACCUGCUUUGCAAGCAGGGGGUCAUCGGUUCGAUCCCGAUAGGCUCCACCAUUCUCGCCGCUUCGCGGCAUG
RNAcentral lists this transfer RNA (561 nucleotides) under Sphingomonas sp. SLAU-25. Its description in RNAcentral is "partial 16S-23S ribosomal RNA intergenic spacer". The stretch from base 208 to 281 matches the Rfam family "tRNA". Lineage: Bacteria; Pseudomonadati; Pseudomonadota; Alphaproteobacteria; Sphingomonadales; Sphingomonadaceae. The record is from RNAcentral.